ACUAUUUUGACAGAUAAAUGUGAUAAAUUUAGAAUUUAUUUAUAUAUUAUUAUUUAAUAUAAAUAGUA
This 68-nucleotide transfer RNA is filed under the name Runaria punctata. RNAcentral's name for it is "tRNA-Leu". The record is from RNAcentral. Lineage: Eukaryota; Metazoa; Arthropoda; Insecta; Hymenoptera; Blasticotomidae.